GGAAGAGCAUUGUCCCCGGUGGGGCGCCUGGUCUUCAAAACCAGUGAGGUGCUGUAGAAGUGCCUGGCGGGUUCGACUCCUGCCUCUUCCGCCA
Molecule: transfer RNA, 94 nt
Filed under: Pseudomonadales bacterium
Lineage: Bacteria; Pseudomonadati; Pseudomonadota; Gammaproteobacteria; Pseudomonadales
Description: tRNA-Sec
Rfam family: Selenocysteine transfer RNA
Source: RNAcentral